GCUGGCGGCAGGCCUAACACAUGCAAGUCGGACGGUAACAGGAGAGAAGCUUGCUUUUCUUGCUGACGAGUGGCGGACGGGUGAGUAACGCGUGGGAAUCUACCCUUUAGUUGGGGACAACAUAUGGAAACGUAUGCUAAUACCGAAUAUGCUCUACGGAGUAAAGGUGCCCUCUCCUUGGAAGGUAUCGCUAAAGGAUGAGCCCGCGUUAGAUUAGCUAGUUGGUAGGGUAAAGGCCUACCAAGGCGACGAUCUAUAGCUGGUUUGAGAGGAUGAUCAGCCACACUGGGACUGAGACACGGCCCAGACUCCUACGGGAGGCAGCAGUGGGGAAUAUUGCACAAUGAGGGAAACCUUGAUGCAGCCAUGCCGCGUGUGUGAAGAAGGCCCGAGGGUUGUAAAGCACUUUCAAUUGUGAGGAAGAUUAAGUAGCUAAUACCUGCUUAGUUUGACGUUAACUUUAGAAGAAGCACCGGCUAACUCUGUGCCAGCAGCCGCGGUAAUACAGAGGGUGCAAGCGUUAUUCGGAAUUACUGGGCGUAAAGCGCGCGUAGGCGGACUGUUAAGUCGGUUGUGAAAGCCCUGGGCUCAACCUAGGAACUGCAUCCGAUACUGGCAAUCUAGAGUUUAAGAGAGGGAAGUGGAAUUCCAGGUGUAGCAGUGAAAUGCGUAGAUAUCUGGAGGAACAUCAGUGGCGAAGGCGACUUCCUGGCUUAAAACUGACGCUGAGGUGCGAAAGCUUGGGUAGCGAACGGGAUUAGAUACCCCGGUAGUCCAAGCCGUAAACGAUGUCAACUAGCUGUUGGUCUUAUUAAAAAGAUUAGUAGCGCAGCUAACGCGAUAAGUUGACCGCCUGGGGAGUACGGUC
This 868-nucleotide ribosomal RNA is filed under the name uncultured bacterium. RNAcentral describes it as "bacterial SSU rRNA". It matches the Rfam family "Bacterial small subunit ribosomal RNA", at positions 35 to 887 of the family's 1533-position model. The record is from RNAcentral.